UGACAAUGUAUGCCUUGGUAAACAAGGGUCAAUCAUUUUCUUAUGAAUAACACCAACAUGAAGAUUGCUAAUGCCAUCCUACAUGGGGCAAUACUGAACACUACACCAUUUUCGCCCUUGGAAAAGUACUUGUGGACAGACAUGUUUCCAUGGCUCGGUCUGCUUUGUUUGGUUGCAGUUGAUGACCUGCUCCUUCAUCUGCUAUGAUACACCUCAUGUUUAGUUGUUUUCAUCUGUAAAACUGGAAGUGGAAAAGUAUUGCUUAGGUGUGGAGAAGAAAUAGAACUUAUUACAACACCAGGAAUCACAUGAACAGUGGGUUCAACUGGGUGCAAAUCCUGACAAUAAAAGACAGCUCUGGACAACUCUCUGAUGCAAUAGGGAGAAGAGGGGAAGAGAGCUACAGUAUUUGAAAAUGUGCCUGAAGCAAGAACAGAGCUGGAUACUCUAUUACAGACAUCUACAAUAUACACAUGAGUCUCACAAUGGAAGUCUAAGAAGCUGCAGUGUCAGAUACCUGAUUGAAUGGAGCAUCUUCAAUGAUCUCAGAGUGAUGACCCCAGGUUUGUUCUACUAGGUAAUCUGAACUCAGGACUUUGCUUUUUCUUCAUGAAGCUUUGCCCCACAUAGAACAAGAAAUGAGGGCUUAAGGGGACCUGGAUUCUUCCUAAGGCAUUGCAUAUGCUUGGGAACAAGGCUAUCUUUUCUCUGUGGCAGAGCCAGUCAGAGGCCAGAACCACAGUGCUGCUAUUAGACCUCUGUAGAGAUGGCAGCAUUUGUAUAAAUGCCUUGGUUUUACUGAAACAUUUCACAUGCUUUUUAGAAAUUAUUAAAUAAAUCACUCAGAUUUCUUUUUUUU
Molecule: non-coding RNA, 859 nt
Organism: Ictidomys tridecemlineatus (thirteen-lined ground squirrel)
Lineage: Eukaryota; Metazoa; Chordata; Mammalia; Rodentia; Sciuridae
Source: RefSeq, a predicted model, not a curated record